This is a long non-coding RNA of Homo sapiens (human), 1658 nucleotides long. Ensembl annotates it as MICALL2 divergent transcript. Its record names the gene MICALL2-DT. NCBI's taxonomy places the organism in Eukaryota, Metazoa, Chordata, Mammalia, Primates, Hominidae. The record is from Ensembl.
GAGGGCCGAGACCCCCAACCGGUGAAGGGGCGCGGUCUGCUUGGGGGUCCUGCCAUUCUGGACCCCUGCGGAGACCUGGAAUUUUCUUUUUCGCCGCCCCACCUCCCACCACCAUCUCACCCCACCGCCAUGGAGAAGAGGCAGGAAAGGCCGUUGACAAACGGGGACACUGAGGCUCGAACACCCUGCCCUGUCUAGGGCCUCAGCCCUCGGCAGCCCGGCCUCCCGGGGAGCAGGAGGCGCCUUGUGUUUCAGGGUUUCAAAGGACGUCCGCAUCUGGUUUCUCUUUCCAGGCCGCUACAUGCCAGCGGGGGUUCCAGGCAAGGCAGAGGUGAGGCCUGGGCAUUGCCAGAGGAGAAACUGAGGCCAGGAAGGGGGCCGUGGAGCCGGAGUUGCACAGCUGGCCUGUGCUUUUCUUCUGGGGGCCUGUGGGCAGGAUCUGUUCCUGGGGCAGGAGAUUCCUCAGGCUGACUUGCAGGGUAGUUCCAAUUUUCCACUUUGAGCUGUGACAGAAGAAAUAAGGAAAGUCCCUCUGCUGGGGCCCUAAAUUAUCCCAGACUGGCCCCUGGCCCCGUUAUCCUUGGGGAACCUUGUCUGUGGCCACGGGGGCUGGACGAGGGCGGAAUCACUGACACCAGCCAUGUGAGGGGGGCCUACCCUCCUGGCUGUGGGGCCAGGGCUUGUCUGGGCAGGGCCUGCAGGAAGGAAGGUGUUUUCCCGCAGUAGCCCCUGGCAGGGAGUCAGGGCAGCUUCUCUGUGCCCCUUGGGAGGAGGAGAAACUGAGGUCUUCCAACCCCAGCCAAUGGUGCUGUUCCAGAUCUUUUCUGAGGCUGGUCCCUGGUGAGACACCGUAGUGUUCAUGGCCAGCUGCCUAAGUGUCAGUGAGGCCUGUGUGUAGGUGGUGAGCUCCCCGUCACCAGGGGCAUGCAAGCAGCUGCUAGGCAGGGAGCCCUUGUGGCCUGGGAAUGUGGCUGGCCCUAACCGCUGCUCCGCCACAGUCCCUGACCUGCGGAUGUCAGGGGAUAUCGUGCCAGCACAGCCGGAGCCGGUCCUGGCACCGGGUUUUCUUGACUCCCAGGGCAACGGUUAGGAGAACCGGAAGAGCUGGAAAAGAAGGGAGAGAUCAAGAAGCAGAAGCAGCGGGGCAGUGGGCGGGGGGAAUUAGUGGGGGAUGGGGGACACAGGGGUGGACAGGCGUUAGGGCCCAGCUCCCUUAAAAGGAGUGGUGUGGGAGGUGGCCUGGGUUUCACUUUUAUCGUGAACUUUUACCACUGCACACUUAAAAAGCCAUCUCACUGGUCACCCCGUGGCCCAUCCUGCGCGGCCCCCCUCUGGCACCAGUGAGCUGGGAGGCAGCAUUUGUGACGUUUGCCCACCAGCACCUCACACACCAUGUCCCUCCAGGGUCCCCGAAGCCAGGAGCCAGGACACCCCCAAACAAAUGGUCCUUUCUCCCCACUGCCCACGGCUGCCACCCUCCCAUCCAGACGACCUGUCCCCCCGCCUCUGCCCACAGGGCUGCCUCCUGCCCCUCCAGCCACCACAGUCCACCCUCCCCAGCAGCCCGAGGGAUCUUUCUAGAAGGCCUGACCAAGCCCUUCCCCUGCCGGGAGCCUCCCAGGCUGUCCUUCGAAUAAAGUCCAGGUUGCUUAUCAGAC